UCAGAACGAACGCUGGCGGCGUGCUCAACACAUGCAAGUCGAACGCGAAAGGGACUUCGGUCCUGAGUAAAGUGGCGCACGGGUGAGUAACGCGUAGAUAACCUGUCUUCAUGUCUGGAAUAAUACGCCGAAAGGGGUACUAAUACCGGAUAUUCUUGCUUUUCAUAAGUUAUGCAAGCAAAGGUGGCCUCUGCAUAUGCUACUGCAUGAAGAGGGGUCUGCGUACCAUUAGCUAGUAGGUGGGGUAAUGGCCUACCUAGGCGACGAUGGUUAGCGGGUCUGAGAGGAUGAUCCGCCACACUGGCACUGGAACACGGGCCAGACUCCUACGGGAGGCAGCAGUGAGGGAUAUUGCGCAAUGGGGGAAACCCUGACGCAGCGACGCCGCGUGAGUGAGGAAGGCCUUCGGGUCGUAAAGCCCUGUCAAGAGGAAAGAAGUGUACAAUGGCUAAUACCUGUUGUAUUUGACGGUACCUCUAAAGGAAGCACCGGCUAACUCCGUGCCAGCCGCCGC
RNAcentral lists this ribosomal RNA (514 nucleotides) under uncultured bacterium. RNAcentral's name for it is "bacterial SSU rRNA". It matches the Rfam family "Bacterial small subunit ribosomal RNA", at positions 24 to 518 of the family's 1533-position model. The record is from RNAcentral.